Molecule: ribosomal RNA, 229 nt
Filed under: uncultured bacterium
Lineage: Bacteria
Description: partial 16S ribosomal RNA
Rfam family: Bacterial small subunit ribosomal RNA
Source: RNAcentral
UGCGCAGGCGGGCUUGUAAGUCAGUGGUGAAAUACUGCCGCUCAACGGUAGAACUGCCAUUGAUACUGCAAGUCUUGAAUAUGGUUGAGGUAGGCGGAAUGUGUCGUGUAGCGGUGAAAUGCAUAGAUAUGACACAGAACGCCAAUUGCGAAGGCAGCUUACUAAGCCAUUAUUGACGCUGAGGCACGAAGGCGUGGGGAGCAAACAGGAUUAGAUACCCUGGUAGUCC